CCUCGAUCUAUUUUUCUAAGGCGCUAAAUUACGUAAAUGUUCGACGAAAACUCAAUAUUUUCUUUGCGUUUCCUCGACGAAAGCCGUGAACAAAAGCCGUGAACAAAAGCGUGCAUAUUGCAAUUGAAGUUUCAACUUCCACAUACGAAUCUGUCACGUGAUUUACCACCGCCGGUACAACGCACAACACGACACGAAAUUUAGAGCUAUAUGAAAGUUGCAUGCCCAUAUAUGGGCAUGCAACAAAAACUGUACCAAAAGUAGCACCAUCUUUGACUACUAAGCCCUAUUUUCGGAUGAUGUCUGGGGGUGCUAAGUGCACUACCCGCACUACCCGUCGUAGAACCCCCCUCCCCUAUACUACUUACCACGCAGUUAAAAUAACUGCUAUCAACAAGAGUUGCAUUGAAAAAAGCCCGGUUAAUUAGGUCUGGAUGUCAUUUUAAAUUCCAGUAACAAAGUUGGAGAAUUAUCACAAAGACCCGCAUAGGUAGGGGACCCAUGCUGGUACAAAUUCAUUUUCAUUACUACAUCAAUCACACACAUGCAGGGAAAGGUCUGUAACAACGAUAAUAUUAAACUUCAUGUUACAUGUAAAUGUUUAGUUGAAAUUCAAGUAAAAUCCUUGCAUGAAAUCCAAGUUAUGUUUGGUGAUCAGUGGCGUAGCAAGCUCGAUAAUUGGGGGGGGGGGGAUAUUCAAAUAUUUGUGUUCUGCAUUAUUAAUUUCUUUUGGAAUCGAUUGUUUUUAAGGUCUGUGAACACGAAUAUAUGAAUGCUGCCCCCCCCCAAUUAUCGAGCUUGCUAUACGCCACUGUUGGUGAUGACUAGAUUGGUGAGAAGAACAGGAAUAUUUAGACGCGUAAUUUGAAUAUGGUCAAUUUAUAUAUUGCACGACAAAAGUACUGCACGACAGAAACACUGCACAACAAUAUAUCGGCCAUACUGUAUUAUAUAUACAUAUAUAUAUAUAUAUAUAUAUAUAUAUAUAUAUAUAUAUAUAUAUAUAUAUAUAUAUAUAUAUAUAUAUAUAUAUAUAUAUAUAUAUAUAUAUAUAUAUAUAUAUAUAUAUAUAUAUAUAUAUAUAAGUUCUACCACUCAAAAAAAUACACCACAUACUAUAUAAAACAUUGCCUAUAAAACAAUACAGAUAAAGCCUACGCUAAUAUCAGAGGUAAAAGACCUAGAAUAACCCUAAAAGAUAAAAAAACCCUCAUGAUUGUCUUGUUAAGACAAACAAGCAGAUAUAGCGUUCUUACAGUGAUGACCUGUCUUCACUUCGAUUCUAAACAAUUUGUUGUUCGAACACAUACACAGUCGAUAUGUCGUGCCUGCAUCAGUGCUUGAAGGUUCUGGGACAUUCUUGAAACUAUAUUUUGAUGCUUUGAAUGUCAGCAUAUCCU
Paramuricea clavata is the source of this 1400-nucleotide non-coding RNA. The record is from the annotation of a GenBank genome assembly. NCBI's taxonomy places the organism in Eukaryota, Metazoa, Cnidaria, Anthozoa, Malacalcyonacea, Plexauridae.